ACUUAAAUAGCUUAUAUAAUAGAGCAUAAUAUUGAAGAUAUUAAGGAAAUAUUUUAUUUUUAAGUA
This 66-nucleotide transfer RNA is filed under the name Morimospasma tuberculatum. Its description in RNAcentral is "tRNA-Phe". The record is from RNAcentral. Lineage: Eukaryota; Metazoa; Arthropoda; Insecta; Coleoptera; Cerambycidae. RNAcentral also lists the same sequence under 1 other name.